This 529-nucleotide ribosomal RNA is filed under the name Cladosporium cladosporioides. RNAcentral's name for it is "eukaryotic LSU rRNA". The stretch from base 173 to 326 matches the Rfam family "5.8S ribosomal RNA". The record is from RNAcentral. Lineage: Eukaryota; Fungi; Ascomycota; Dothideomycetes; Cladosporiales; Cladosporiaceae.
CUGCGGAGGGAUCAUUACAAGUGACCCCGGUUUACCACCGGGAUGUUCAUAACCCUUUGUUGUCCGACUCUGUUGCCUCCGGGGCGACCCUGCCUUCGGGCGGGGGCUCCGGGUGGACACUUCAAACUCUUGCGUAACUUUGCAGUCUGAGUAAACUUAAUUAAUAAAUUAAAACUUUUAACAACGGAUCUCUUGGUUCUGGCAUCGAUGAAGAACGCAGCGAAAUGCGAUAAGUAAUGUGAAUUGCAGAAUUCAGUGAAUCAUCGAAUCUUUGAACGCACAUUGCGCCCCCUGGUAUUCCGGGGGGCAUGCCUGUUCGAGCGUCAUUUCACCACUCAAGCCUCGCUUGGUAUUGGGCAACGCGGUCCGCCGCGUGCCUCAAAUCGACCGGCUGGGUCUUCUGUCCCCUAAGCGUUGUGGAAACUAUUCGCUAAAGGGUGUUCGGGAGGCUACGCCGUAAAACAACCCCAUUUCUAAGGUUGACCUCGGAUCAGGUAGGGAUACCCGCUGAACUUAAGCAUAUCAAACG